Molecule: long non-coding RNA, 323 nt
Filed under: Homo sapiens (human)
Lineage: Eukaryota; Metazoa; Chordata; Mammalia; Primates; Hominidae
Description: non-protein coding lnc-PRPF4B-1:2
Source: RNAcentral
UUGUAAAUGGGAUUUUUUUAUUCACCCAGGCACCUAAUUACAACAAGCAUGCACAUUUUGGUGCAUUCAAGAAUGGAAAAUCAGAAUAGCAGCAUUGAUUCUUCUGGUGCAGCUCAGUGGAAGAUGAUGACAACCAGAAGACAUGAGCUAAGGGUAAGGGACUGUUCUGAAGAACCUUUCCAUUUAGUGAUCAAGAUAUGGAAGCUGAUUUCUGAAAAUGCUCAGUGUGUACUCUAAUUAUUUAUGGUACCAUUUGAAUUGUAACUUGCAUUUUAGCAGUGCAUGUUUCUAAUUGACUUACUGGGAAACUGAAUAAAAUAUGC